Engraulis encrasicolus (European anchovy) is the source of this 395-nucleotide long non-coding RNA. RefSeq lists it as uncharacterized. The record is from RefSeq and is a predicted model, not a curated record. The transcript has 3 exons. NCBI's taxonomy places the organism in Eukaryota, Metazoa, Chordata, Actinopteri, Clupeiformes, Engraulidae.
UAUUGUUUUAGUAUGAUGUCAGUUGGCCGGAUUUGAAGUGGAAUGUGUGAAACACAUUUGACUGUUAAUAAUGAAUUUACUCAACACCAUGUGACCAUCAAACCACAACUGACAACUUGGCAUGGAAAAAUGUGUCUAUCAACCUCACUUCAAGGCAGCCGAUAUGGGACCACAAGAACUCUAUGAUCUAUCAGCUCUGCUCAACACUCCAAAGGAUAAACAACUGACUGUGUUGUGAAGUCUGACACUAUUUUGGGGGACAUGUUAUUGCAAGUUAUAUGGAGCUCCUUCAGCCUCCAACUCCUAAUAAAAGAUUCAGAAAUGGACAACAAAUAAAUGACUAAAUUGCCUAAUGUGUUGAGGUUGAUUUGUAAUGUGUUCUUUGUAAUGUAUUG